CAAAAUUUCUUUUCAUUGGAAUUAUAAUUUCAAAAAUUUCAUUAUUUCAAUAGCAAGAUACGCGAGAAGAAAUCGAAAACAUUGAAUGCUUGGCAAUUUGGAAGAAGGUUU
This is a long non-coding RNA of Apis mellifera (honey bee), 111 nucleotides long. RefSeq lists it as uncharacterized. The record is from RefSeq and is a predicted model, not a curated record. Lineage: Eukaryota; Metazoa; Arthropoda; Insecta; Hymenoptera; Apidae. The transcript has 2 exons.